GAAGCUCCAGGACCGUCUCAUGUACAGGUUACAAACAGUGAAAGUCGUCCACGAGUGAGUAGCAUCUGUGCGUCCCGAAGCCAGGCCUCUGCUAAGUAUGGAAAGUACCGGAAUCAGCAAUGCAUGGCGAACAGUUUGGUUUUCCUGUCAUUCUUACACGAGGAUGAAUUCAUUACGAGAGCAGAUCUUAACCGUGUGUUGGACAAAGGCCAUGCCAUGCAUUCAGAUGCCAGAAAGAGGUUUGUGAACAGCGUGUUUCUAGCCUGCGAUGAGCUUCCCUCAGUGGUCACCAGCCGCACACACAAGUAUCAAGUGGACAUGUCUCAGUUUGCUCUUUACGGCGCAUUUGAUGGUACAGAUCAUCUUCCGAGCCUUGAACAGGGACUACAGUGUUUGGUUUCAGCGGUUCGCUAUGCUUUGCUAGUCAUGGGAGGAAACGUCAUUGCAGUUUGCAGGCUGACUUCAGGACUUGGAUGAGAAAAGGAUUUAUGCCAAUCCUGAGGUAACUGCAGCGCUCCAAACCAUGAGACAAGCCAGCGUUGAGGAAAUGAUGCCUCUUCUUCAGGUCAGAGAAACAGCCAGCAGACCUGACACUCUUACACUGAUCCAUCACAAUACAGAGGGUUUGCCAUCUCACAUCAGUGACAUCAAGAGUCAUCAUGAAAUGUGUUUAGCAGAUGUUUUGUGUCUCACAGAGUCUCACCUCCAAGGCUCCUUUGUUGCAGACAGUCUUCAUUUGGACGGCUACACCAUGUUCAAACGCAACAGACAUGUGUCCUACACAAACUUUCCUCACAUGGCCAGCAGAAGUGGUGGUGGAGUUGUUGUGUAUUUGAGGAAUCAUUUUCAGGUUCAGGUAAAACAGUAUCUGCAUAAUGUCACUGAUCUUGAGUUCUUAGUGUUGAAGGUUCAGGCUCC
Molecule: long non-coding RNA, 918 nt
Organism: Oreochromis aureus
Lineage: Eukaryota; Metazoa; Chordata; Actinopteri; Cichliformes; Cichlidae
Source: Ensembl